GACACAGUGUCAAAUGCCUUGGCGAAGUC
RNAcentral lists this small RNA (29 nucleotides) under Bombyx mori (domestic silkworm). RNAcentral describes it as "ovarian small RNA-5041". Lineage: Eukaryota; Metazoa; Arthropoda; Insecta; Lepidoptera; Bombycidae. The record is from RNAcentral.